RNAcentral lists this ribosomal RNA (551 nucleotides) under uncultured fungus. Its description in RNAcentral is "eukaryotic LSU rRNA". The stretch from base 190 to 343 matches the Rfam family "5.8S ribosomal RNA". The record is from RNAcentral. Lineage: Eukaryota; Fungi.
UCGUAGUGACCUGCGGAAGGAUCAUUAAAGAAUGCCCCGUUUUUUGAAAUGGGUUCUAUUCCCAAACCGUGUAUAUAUACCUUUGUUGCUUUGGCAGGCCGCCUUCGGGCGUCGGCUCACGCUAACUGCGCCUGCCAGAGGACCCAAACUCGUUUGUUUAGUGAUGUCUGAGUACUAUAUAAUAGUUAAAACUUUCAACAACGGAUCUCUUGGUUCUGGCAUCGAUGAAGAACGCAGCGAAAUGCGAUAAGUAAUGUGAAUUGCAGAAUUCAGUGAAUCAUCGAAUCUUUGAACGCACAUUGCGCCCCUUGGUAUUCCGAGGGGCAUGCCUGUUCGAGCGUCAUUAUAACCACUCAAGCCUGGCUUGGUAUUGGGGUUCGCGGUCUCGCGGCCCUUAAAAUCAGUGGCGGUGCCAUCUGGCUCUAAGCGUAGUAAUCUAUCUCGCUAUUGGGUCCGGUGGUUGCUUGCCAACAACCCCCAACUUCUAAGGUUGACCUCGGAUCAGGUAGGGAUACCCGCUGAACUUAAGCAUAUCAAUAAGCGGAGGAAUC